CCUACGGGCGGCAGCAGUAAGGAAUAUUGGUCAAUGGGCGCAAGCCUGAACCAGCCAUGCCGCGUGCAGGAAGACGGCCCUAUGGGUUGUAAACUGCUUUUGUCAGGGAAUAAACCUUUGUACGUGAUACAGAGCUGAAGGUACCUGAAGAAUAAGCAUCGGCUAACUCCGUGCCAGCAGCCGCGGUAAUACGGAGGAUGCAAGCGUUAUCCGGAUUCAUUGGGUUUAAAGGGUGCGCAGGCGGAUUGAUAAGUCAGUGGUGAAAGCCCACAGCUUAACUGUGGAACUGCCAUUGAUACUGUCAUUCUUGAGUAUUGUUGAGGUAGGCGGAAUGUGUCAUGUAGCGGUGAAAUGCUUAGAUAUGACACAGAACACCGAUCGCGAAGGCAGCUUACCAAGCAAUAACUGACGCUCAUGCACGAAAGCGUGGGGAUCAAACAGGAUUAGAUACCCUGGUAGUC
This 461-nucleotide ribosomal RNA is filed under the name Weissella confusa. Its description in RNAcentral is "bacterial SSU rRNA". It matches the Rfam family "Bacterial small subunit ribosomal RNA", at positions 338 to 795 of the family's 1533-position model. Lineage: Bacteria; Bacillati; Bacillota; Bacilli; Lactobacillales; Lactobacillaceae. The record is from RNAcentral.